AUUGAACGCUGGCGGCGUGCCUAACACAUGCAAGUCGAGCGGAUGGAGGUGGCUUGCUCCUGGAUUCAGCGGCGGACGGGUGAGUAAUGCCUAGGAAUCUCCCUGGUAGUGUGCGAUAACGUCCGGAAACGGGCGCUGAUACCGCAUCCGUCCUGAGGGAGAAAGGGGGGGAGCUUCGGACCUCACGCUAUCAGAUGAUCCUAGUUCGGAUUAGCUAGUCGGUGUGGUAAAGGCCUACCAAGGCGACGAUCCGUAACUGGUCUGAGAGGAUGAUCAGUCACACUGGAACUGAGACAGGGUCAAGACUCCUACGGGAGGCAGCAGUGGGGAAUAUUGGACAAUGGGCGAAAGCCUGAUCCAGCCACGCCGCGUGUGUGAAGAAGGUCUCCGGAUUGUAAAGCUCUUUAAGUUGGGAGGAAGGGCAGUAAGUUAAUAUCUUGCUGUUUUGACGUUAGCAAUAGAAUAAGCACCGGCUAACUUCGUG
Molecule: ribosomal RNA, 484 nt
Filed under: uncultured bacterium
Lineage: Bacteria
Description: partial 16S ribosomal RNA
Rfam family: Bacterial small subunit ribosomal RNA
Source: RNAcentral